This 753-nucleotide ribosomal RNA is filed under the name Staphylococcus aureus. RNAcentral's name for it is "bacterial SSU rRNA". It matches the Rfam family "Bacterial small subunit ribosomal RNA", at positions 1 to 736 of the family's 1533-position model. The record is from RNAcentral. Lineage: Bacteria; Bacillati; Bacillota; Bacilli; Caryophanales; Staphylococcaceae.
UUUAUGGAGAGUUUGAUCCUGGCUCAGGAUGAACGCUGGCGGCGUGCCUAAUACAUGCAAGUCGAGCGAACGGACGAGAAGCUUGCUUCUCUGAUGUUAGCGGCGGACGGGUGAGUAACACGUGGAUAACCUACCUAUAAGACUGGGAUAACUUCGGGAAACCGGAGCUAAUACCGGAUAAUAUUUUGAACCGCAUGGUUCAAAAGUGAAAGACGGUCUUGCUGUCACUUAUAGAUGGAUCCGCGCUGCAUUAGCUAGUUGGUAAGGUAACGGCUUACCAAGGCAACGAUGCAUAGCCGACCUGAGAGGGUGAUCGGCCACACUGGAACUGAGACACGGUCCAGACUCCUACGGGAGGCAGCAGUAGGGAAUCUUCCGCAAUGGGCGAAAGCCUGACGGAGCAACGCCGCGUGAGUGAUGAAGGUCUUCGGAUCGUAAAACUCUGUUAUUAGGGAAGAACAUAUGUGUAAGUAACUGUGCACAUCUUGACGGUACCUAAUCAGAAAGCCACGGCUAACUACGUGCCAGCAGCCGCGGUAAUACGUAGGUGGCAAGCGUUAUCCGGAAUUAUUGGGCGUAAAGCGCGCGUAGGCGGUUUUUUAAGUCUGAUGUGAAAGCCCACGGCUCAACCGUGGAGGGUCAUUGGAAACUGGAAAACUUGAGUGCAGAAGAGGAAAGUGGAAUUCCAUGUGUAGCGGUGAAAUGCGCAGAGAUAUGGAGGAACACCAGUGGCGAAGGCGACUUUCUGGUCUG